Long non-coding RNA from Hyla sarda, 597 nucleotides. RefSeq lists it as uncharacterized. The transcript has 3 exons. The record is from RefSeq and is a predicted model, not a curated record. NCBI's taxonomy places the organism in Eukaryota, Metazoa, Chordata, Amphibia, Anura, Hylidae.
UUGACAGCUGUGAGGAGAAUGUCAAAAGCCCGGGAGCGCUUGACAGGAGACGACCUCACUGUCAGGAGAUCUCGCAAUAACAAGCGGAGCGCUCGAGACGCGAGAUCAAAGGAACAGUUGAAGCAGGGGAAGAGGAAGACGGAGCUCAGGCUGAAGAUGGCGGUGAUGACGCAGUUAAACAAGAAGAAAAUGCGCAAGACGAAGAUCUGAAUUACUAUCUCUCUUGGAUUCUGCAAAAGACAAGCGCUUGCUGACUCAGAAACAACUUGAAGGCCUAAUGAUUCUACAUCCGACUGUACCUACUAUAUAUUUGCUACCUAAAAUCCACAAGAACAGCAAGACACCACCAGGACGACCAAUUGUGUCUGUGUCCAACUCUCUUACAAAACCGGUGGAUGACCGAGGCUAUAUUCAGACCGACUUGUAUCGUAAAAGUACCGCAGCAAACAUCAUCCUGCAUGCAACUUCUGCACAUCCACUGCACCUUAUUAAAAACAUUACUUAUGGCCAGUUUCUUCGAGCCAGAAGACUUUGUUCAGAUGAUACACGAUUUGAAGCACAAGAGCUGAAGCAGAGACUUAAAGGAGAACUCCAGAA